UACGGGGGGGGCAAGCGUUGUUCGGAAUUACUGGGCGUAAAGGGCCCGUAGGCGGCCAACUAAGUCGGAUGUGAAAUCCCCAGGCUCAACUUGGGAACUGCAUCCGAUACUGGAUGGCUUGAAUUCGGGAGAGGGAUGCAGAAUUCCAGGUGUAGCGGUGAAAUGCGUAGAUAUCUGGAGGAAUACCGGUGGCGAAGGCGGCAUCCUGGACCGACAUUGACGCUGAGGAGCGAAAGCUAGGGGAGCAAACGGG
RNAcentral lists this ribosomal RNA (253 nucleotides) under uncultured bacterium. Its description in RNAcentral is "partial 16S ribosomal RNA". It matches the Rfam family "Bacterial small subunit ribosomal RNA", at positions 524 to 776 of the family's 1533-position model. The record is from RNAcentral.